Molecule: ribosomal RNA, 559 nt
Filed under: Boana icamiaba
Lineage: Eukaryota; Metazoa; Chordata; Amphibia; Anura; Hylidae
Description: LSU rRNA
Rfam family: Bacterial large subunit ribosomal RNA
Source: RNAcentral
CGCCUCUUGAAGCAAUAUAAGAGGUCCAGCCUGCCCAGUGAACUUUAUUCAACGGCCGCGGUAUCCUAACCGUGCGAAGGUAGCGUAAUCACUUGUUCUUUAAAUAAGGACUAGUAUGAAUGGCACCACGAGGGUUAUACUGUCUCCUUUUUUAAAUCAGUGAAACUAAUCUCCCCGUGAAGAAGCGAGGAUUUAUUUAUAAGACGAGAAGACCCUAUGGAGCUUUAAACAACCAACACCUGCUACACCCAUAAUAAGCCUAACAAGAAGUAUAGCAUUAUGAUUUAUAGUUUUCGAUUGGGGUGAUCACGGAGCAAAAACCAACCUCCAUGCCGAAUGGGUUUAUACCCUUAGCAAAAAGCCACAACUUUAUGCACUAAAAUAUUAACGUACUUUGACCCAAUAUUUUGAUCAACGAACCAAGUUACCCUAGGGAUAACAGCGCAAUCUACUUCAAGAGCUCCUAUCGACAAGUGGGUUUACGACCUCGAUGUUGGAUCAGGGUAUCCUAGUGGUGCAGCCGCUACUAAAGGUUCGUUUGUUCAACGAUUAAAACCCU